Callithrix jacchus (white-tufted-ear marmoset) is the source of this 1143-nucleotide non-coding RNA. NCBI's taxonomy places the organism in Eukaryota, Metazoa, Chordata, Mammalia, Primates, Cebidae. The record is from RefSeq and is a predicted model, not a curated record.
AGCUAACCUUAGCAUCUUCUGAUGCAGCCUCCCUUCCUGUUGUUCUAGACUAAAUAAUUCAUAGUUUAGGAUAUACAUUACAAUUUGAUUCCUAUAGAUUGAAUUGGUGUGAGAAAGGUCCCAGGGUAAGACUACAGCCUUGUGGGUCGUAGGUAUGGCUGGUGUGUUUGAAGGGGCACAGAGGUAUGGAAAGGUCCUUCACAAAGAAGGACUCUUCUUUGUGAAGCUGACCCCCCCCCCACCACCAUGAGCUUGAUCACAUGUCCUCUGAGGCCUGGAACCAUUGAAUUGUUAUAUGUAAAAUUUCGCCUCUCUUUCCAACUGGAACCAUGGAGGGUGUAGAAAAGAAGAAGAAGAAGAAGGUUCCUGCUGUGCCAGAAACCCUUAAGAAAAAGCGAAGGAAUUUCGCAGAGCUGAAGAUCAAGUGCCUGAGAAAGAAGUUUGCCCAAAUAAUGCUUCGAAAGCAAGGAGGAAGCUUAUCUAUGAAAAGGAGAAGCAUUAUCACAAGGAAUAUAGGCAGAUGUACAGAACUGAAAUUCGAAUGGUGAGGAUGGCAAGGAAAGCUGGCAACUUCUAUGUACCUGCAGAACCCAAACUGGCGUUUGUCAUCAGGAUCGGAGGUAUCAAUGGUGUGAGCCCAAAGGUCCGAAAGGUGUUGCAGCUUUUUUGCCUUCGUCAAAUCUUCAAUGGAAACUUUGUGAAGCUCAACAAGGCUUCAGUUAACAUGCUGAGGAUUGUAGAGCUAUAUAUUGCAUGGGGGUACCCAAAUCUGAAGUCAGUAAACGAACUAAUCUACAAACGUGGUUAUGGCAAAAUCAAAAAGAAGCGAAUUGCUUUGACAGAUAAUGCUCUGAUUGCUCGAUCUCUUGGAAAAUAUGGCAUCAUCUGCAUGGAGGAUCUGAUUCAUGAGAUCUAUACUGUUGGAAAACGCUUCAAAGAAGCAAAUAACUUCUUGUGGCCCUUUAAAUCAUCUUCUCCACGGGGUGAAAUGAAGAAAAAGAUCACCCAUUUUGUAGAAGGUGGAGAUGCUGGCAACAGGGAGGACCAGAUCAACAGGCUUAUUAGAAGAAUAAACUAAGGUGUCGCCCAUGAUUAUUUUUCUAAGCCGGUCAGUUAAUAAACAGUACCUGCUCUCAAUUGAAA